GACGAACCGUGCGAACGUUAUUCGGAAUCACUGGGCUUAAAGCGCGUGUAGGCGGGACGGCACGUCGGUCGCUGAAAUCCCCCGGCUCAACCGGGGAACGGGCGCCGAUACGACCGCCCUGGAGGGACGUAGGGGGGACCUGGAACUUCCGGUGGAGCGGUGAAAUGCGUUGAGAUCGGAAGGAACGCCCGUGGCGAAAGCGAGGUCCUGGACGUUUCUGACGCUGAGACGCGAAAGCCAGGGAGCGAACGGG
Molecule: ribosomal RNA, 253 nt
Filed under: uncultured bacterium
Lineage: Bacteria
Description: partial 16S ribosomal RNA
Rfam family: Bacterial small subunit ribosomal RNA
Source: RNAcentral